AUUGAACGCUGGCGGCAGGCCUAACACAUGCAAGUCGAGCGAGUGGCGGACGGGUGAGUAAUGUCUGGGACACUGCCCUAUGGCGGGGGAUAACUACUGGAAACGGUACCUAAUACCGCAUACCAUCGGAUGUUCCCAGAUGGGAUUAGCUAGUAGGUGGGGUAACGGCUCACCUAGGCGACGAUCCCUAGCUGGUCUGAGAGGAUGACCAGCCACACUGGAACUGAGACACGGUCCAGACUCCUACGGGAGGCAGCAGUGGGGAAUAUUGCACAAUGGGCGCAAGCCUGAUGCAGCCAUGCCGCGUGUAUGAAGAAGGCCUUCGGGUUGUAAAGUACUUUUAGCGGGGAGGCGUUACCCGCAGAAGAAGCACCGGCUAACUCCGUGCCAGCAGCCGCGGUAAUUC
This 406-nucleotide ribosomal RNA is filed under the name uncultured bacterium. RNAcentral describes it as "partial 16S ribosomal RNA". It matches the Rfam family "Bacterial small subunit ribosomal RNA", at positions 30 to 526 of the family's 1533-position model. The record is from RNAcentral.